CCUACGGGCGGCAGCAGUGGGGAAUAUUGGACAAUGGGCGAAAGCCUGAUCCAGCAAUGCCGCGUGAGUGAAGAAGGCCUUCGGGUUGUAAAGCUCUUUUACCCGGGAAGAUAAUGACUGUACCGGGAGAAUAAGCCCCGGCUAACUCCGUGCCAGCAGCCGCGGUAAUACGGAGGGGGCUAGCGUUGUUCGGAAUUACUGGGCGUAAAGCGUACGUAGGCGGCUUUGUAAGUCAGAGGUGAAAGCCCACGACUCAAUCGUGGAACUGCCUUUGAGACUGCUUCGCUUGAAGAUGGGAGAGGUUAGUGGAAUUCCGAGUGUAGAGGUGAAAUUCGUAGAUAUUCGGAAGAACACCAGUGGCGAAGGCGGCUAACUGGACCAUUCUUGACGCUGAGGUACGAAAGCGUGGGGAGCAAACAGGAUUAGAUACCCAAGUAGUC
This 440-nucleotide ribosomal RNA is filed under the name uncultured bacterium. RNAcentral's name for it is "bacterial SSU rRNA". It matches the Rfam family "Bacterial small subunit ribosomal RNA", at positions 338 to 795 of the family's 1533-position model. The record is from RNAcentral.